Molecule: ribosomal RNA, 305 nt
Filed under: uncultured bacterium
Lineage: Bacteria
Description: bacterial SSU rRNA
Rfam family: Bacterial small subunit ribosomal RNA
Source: RNAcentral
CCUACGGGGGGCAGCAGUGGGGAAUAUUGCACAAUGGGGGAAACCCUGAUGCAGCAACGCCGCGUGAGUGAAGAAGGUUUUCGGAUUGUAAACCUCUUUUGUCGGGGAGCAAGACCCGCCUCGUGCAGGCGGAGCGAGAGUACCCGAAGAAAAAGCAUCGGCUAACUCCGUGCCAGCAGCCGCGGUAAUACGGAGGAUGCGAGCGUUAUCCGGAUUUAUUGGGUUUAAAGGGUGCGCAGGCGGACCAUCAAGUCAGCGGUAAAAUCGUGGGGCCCAACCCCAUCCCGCCGUUGAAACUGGCGGUC